RNAcentral lists this ribosomal RNA (253 nucleotides) under uncultured bacterium. RNAcentral's name for it is "partial 16S ribosomal RNA". It matches the Rfam family "Archaeal small subunit ribosomal RNA", at positions 474 to 727 of the family's 1478-position model. The record is from RNAcentral.
UACCAGCACCCCGAGUGGUCGGGACGAUUAUUGGGCCUAAAGCAUCCGUAGCCGGUCCUGCAAGUCUUCCGUUAAAUCCAGCUGCUCAACAGAUGGGCUGCGGGGGAUACUACAGGGCUAGAAGGCGGGAGAGGCAAGCGGUACUUUAUGGGUAGGGGUAAAAUCCGUUGAUCCAUAGAAGACCACCAGUGGCGAAGGCGGCUUGCCAGAACGCGCUCGACGGUGAGGGAUGAAAGCUGGGGGAGCAAACGGG